Saccostrea cuccullata (small rock oyster) is the source of this 272-nucleotide long non-coding RNA. RefSeq lists it as uncharacterized. NCBI's taxonomy places the organism in Eukaryota, Metazoa, Mollusca, Bivalvia, Ostreida, Ostreidae. The transcript has 2 exons. The record is from RefSeq and is a predicted model, not a curated record.
GGUUCUUCGGCUGUUUAUGGAGACUAAAGAAUGUGUAUCAAUUCCUAAUUUCAGGUCGGACUCAUCCAACUUCAUUUUCAGCAAAGAUAAAACGUGAUGCUGUUUUAGACAUUUUGACGUUAUAAUCCAUGUGCGGGUGCACGUUCUUGAUUGUUCAUCCUACGAAUAUGUACCUGCUACAAGGCACCCAUUUACUAUCACAGGAUACAUAGAAAUAUAUAUGGUCAUCAAUUGUUUAUCAAUUUACUAAUAAACAACCAAUAUGUCCAUAA